This 742-nucleotide ribosomal RNA is filed under the name uncultured cyanobacterium. RNAcentral's name for it is "bacterial SSU rRNA". It matches the Rfam family "Bacterial small subunit ribosomal RNA", at positions 8 to 796 of the family's 1533-position model. The record is from RNAcentral. Lineage: Bacteria; Bacillati; Cyanobacteriota.
AGAGUUUGAUCCUGGCUCAGGAUGAACGCUGGCGGUAUGCUUAACACAUGCAAGUCGAACGGACUCUUCGGAGUUAGUGGCGGACGGGUGAGUAACGCGUGAGAAUCUGGCUUCAGGUUCGGGACAACAGUUGGAAACGGCUGCUAAUACCGGAUGUGCCUUAUGGUGAAAGAUUUAUCACCUGAAGAUGAGCUCGCGUCUGAUUAGCUAGUAGGUGUGGUAAGAGCGCACCUAGGCGACGAUCAGUAGCUGGUCUGAGAGGAUGAUCAGCCACACUGGGACUGAGACACGGCCCAGACUCCUACGGGAGGCAGCAGUGGGGAAUUUUCCGCAAUGGGCGAAAGCCUGACGGAGCAAUACCGCGUGAGGGAGGAAGGCUCUUGGGUUGUAAACCUCUUUUCUCAGGGAAGAAUGAUGACGGUACCUGAGGAAUAAGCAUCGGCUAACUCCGUGCCAGCAGCCGCGGUAAUACGGAGGAUGCAAGCGUUAUCCGGAAUGAUUGGGCGUAAAGCGUCCGCAGGUGGCAAUGUAAGUCUGCUGUCAAAGCGUCUGGCUCAACCAGAUAAAGGCAGUGGAAACUACAUAGCUAGAGUAAGGUAGGGGUAGAGGGAAUUCCUGGUGUAGCGGUGAAAUGCGUAGAGAUCAGGAAGAACACCGGUGGCGAAAGCGCUCUGCUGGACCUUAACUGACACUGAGGGACGAAAGCUAGGGGAGCAAAUGGGAUUAGAUACCCCCGUAGUCC